This is a non-coding RNA of Camelina sativa (false flax), 681 nucleotides long. The record is from RefSeq and is a predicted model, not a curated record. NCBI's taxonomy places the organism in Eukaryota, Viridiplantae, Streptophyta, Magnoliopsida, Brassicales, Brassicaceae.
GUAUUUGAGUUUCUUUCUUGAAGAUGAUUCCAAACUUGAACGCAUUAGAAAGGUAACACUAGUCAAUAAGUUCGUUAUUAAGAUCGCUACGCAGAAGGAAAAUGUGUCCAAGGGUUUUUGAAAAUUGUACUAUAUAUAUAUAUUUUGGAAUAUGGAGAAAAAGAUGGAAACAUGCAAUCAGGAGAUGUAAAGAAGCGAGUCACGGAAGUCUUGACAGAAAUAGUGGAGAAACACCGCAGGGCACGAGCUGCUGUUACCAAUGAGAUGGUGGACGCAUUCAUGGCCGUGAGACCUCUCCCAAGCAUGUUCGAGUAAGUAGGACUACUCACUCCUAAACCAGAAGAAACCCAUUUUGGCAGCUCCUCAAAACUUCAUGUCACAUCUUUGGGUCUAUAAUUAUUUCUCGUAGCAGUGUGAAAUGUUUUUCUUUAGGGAUUUGAUUUGAGUCGAUUCUUAAAAUUCUUAGUGGGAGUCGAUCGAACUUUCUUCUGUCCAGAAGUACAUACAGUUUGGUUCAGUCCAGAACUUUCUUGAGUAUAUAAUUAAAUAUGAUGGAAACUUAUGUUAAUUCCUCACUUAGAAGAUGUUCAAUAUUUAAUUUUAUUUUGUUGUUUAGUUUUUGGUUUAGUAUGUUUUGUAAUGAGAUUCUCUACUUAGAACAAAUUGAAUUAAUUUCUCAUA